Molecule: ribosomal RNA, 468 nt
Filed under: uncultured bacterium
Lineage: Bacteria
Description: partial 16S ribosomal RNA
Rfam family: Bacterial small subunit ribosomal RNA
Source: RNAcentral
GACGAACGCUGGCGGCGUGCUUAACACAUGCAAGUCGAACGGAAUGGCCCUGCUUUUGUGGGGUGCUCGAGUGGCGAACGGGUGAGUAACACGUGAGUAACCUGCCCUUGACUUUGGGAUAACUUCAGGAAACUGGGGCUAAUACCGGAUAGGAGCUCCUGCUGCAUGGCGGGGGUUGGAAAGUUUCGGCGGUUGGGGAUGGACUCGCGGCUUAUCAGCUUGUUGGUGGGGUAGUGGCUUACCAAGGCUUUGACGGGUAGCCGGCCUGAGAGGGUGACCGGCCACAUUGGGACUGAGAUACGGCCCAGACUCCUACGGGAGGCAGCAGUGGGGAAUAUUGCACAAUGGGCGGAAGCCUGAUGCAGCAACGCCGCGUGCGGGAUGACGGCCUUCGGGUUGUAAACCGCUUUCGCCUGUGACGAAGCGUGAGUGACGGUAAUGGGUAAAGAAGCACCGGCUAACUACGUG